This is a long non-coding RNA of Anthonomus grandis grandis, 761 nucleotides long. RefSeq lists it as uncharacterized. Lineage: Eukaryota; Metazoa; Arthropoda; Insecta; Coleoptera; Curculionidae. The transcript is spliced from 3 exons. The record is from RefSeq and is a predicted model, not a curated record.
CAGUUUGUACAAACUAACAAAAGUCAAUUUUUAAAGUAUGUUUAUAAUUACAUUAAAAAAGGAAAUGCCUUAAAAUGUAUGCCUUAAAUAAUAAUUAAAUAUGGAGUCGAAAAAAAUUAUGCAAUCCUGACUAUGACAAAAUUAACCAAAUAGAAGGAUGUGUAAAAUUUUAUGGAAAAUAUUUUAAAGAAGACAUGUCAAAAUCAAUUUUAGUUUAUCAUGAUCAGCCGGAAAAUCCUGAACAAUUGUCUCAAUAUAUUUCAAUCUUGGUGACUUCUAAGGACGAAACUAAAUAUUACAAAGUCUUUAUGGAAAAGCAAAAGAUCUAUGAGGACACAUCAGUUAUUGAAAGCCUAUUAGUGUGUUUUGGACUUUAUUUUGUAAUGAAUCUGAUUUUUCCCAAAACAGCAGCUAUAACUCUGGAGAUGUUACAAAGGUUUCAUUUAAAAAUUCAUCCUGAUUCGGGCACAAAAGCUAAAUCAACUUCAAAAGGGAAAGUUCUUACUUUGAUGAAAAAUCUUACCAAAGCAUUUUCAUAAAUUUGUUUAAAUUAUUCUAUUUACUGUUUUUUUUUUGUUCUGGGUUAGUGUCUAGAAUGACUGUAUUUUUGUUGUUUAUCUUAUUUUUACUUUAUGACUGCUAAAUAAUAAGCAGAUGAAACUGGUUUUAGUUUGACCAUUUUUAAUACCAUACCUACUAUAGAAACAUAAUACCUAAAUUUAUCUACCAUUUUCCUAAUUUAAUAUACUUGUUAUUUUAGA